Long non-coding RNA from Brassica napus (rape), 285 nucleotides. RefSeq lists it as uncharacterized. Lineage: Eukaryota; Viridiplantae; Streptophyta; Magnoliopsida; Brassicales; Brassicaceae. The record is from RefSeq and is a predicted model, not a curated record. The transcript has 2 exons.
UGAUUGUUGAGAUGAAGAGAUCAAGCUAUAUGAAAGAAGGAUAUCAAAGGCACCAGACUUGAGAAGUUAGGCACCAAACUUGAGACUGUUGCUAAGGCACCAGACUUGAGAAGUUAGGCACCAGACUUGAGACUGUUGCUACAGUACUCGGCCCAGAAAGGAAGAAGCCCAUGACAGCCUUUCUCAAGCUCUUAAAACCCUUGUAUCCUCUCUAUAUAAACUUUAUAAUCUCUUCAUUAAGAUUCAAGCAAGAUAAUAAAAAGUCUCUGGUCAUCUUUGAAUUCU